GCGCGAGUGGCGGAACUGGCAGACGCGCAGGACUUAGAAUCCUGUGGAUGAAUAAUCCGUGUGGGUUCAAGUCCCACCUCGCGCACCA
Molecule: transfer RNA, 88 nt
Filed under: Defluviitoga tunisiensis
Lineage: Bacteria; Thermotogati; Thermotogota; Thermotogae; Petrotogales; Petrotogaceae
Also listed under: 1 other name
Description: tRNA-Leu (TAG) (tRNA-Leu-TAG-1-1)
Rfam family: tRNA
About the family: Transfer RNA (tRNA) molecules are approximately 80 nucleotides in length. Their secondary structure includes four short double-helical elements and three loops (D, anti-codon, and T loops). Further hydrogen bonds mediate the characteristic L-shaped molecular structure. tRNAs have two regions of fundamental functional importance: the anti-codon, which is responsible for specific mRNA codon recognition, and the 3' end, to which the tRNAs corresponding amino acid is attached (by aminoacyl-tRNA synthetases). tRNAs cope with the degeneracy of the genetic code in two manners: having more than one tRNA (with a specific anti-codon) for a particular amino acid; and 'wobble' base-pairing, i.e. permitting non-standard base-pairing at the 3rd anti-codon position.
Source: RNAcentral